This 253-nucleotide ribosomal RNA is filed under the name uncultured bacterium. Its description in RNAcentral is "partial 16S ribosomal RNA". It matches the Rfam family "Bacterial small subunit ribosomal RNA", at positions 524 to 776 of the family's 1533-position model. The record is from RNAcentral.
UACGAAGGGGGCGAGCGUUGUUCGGAUUUACUGGGCGUAAAGGGCGCGCAGGCGGCUCAUUUUGUCAGGCGUGAAAGCCCCGGGCUUAACCUGGGAACUGCGUUUGAUACGGAUGGGCUAGAGUUCGGGAGAGGAGAGUGGAAUUCCCAGUGUAGAGAUGAAAUUCGUAGAUAUUGGGAAGAACACCGGUGGCGAAGGCGGCUCUCUGGACCGAUACUGACGCUGAGGCGCGAAAGCGUGGGGAGCAAACAGG